GUAGGUGGCAAGCGCUGUCCGGAAUUAUUGGGGCGUAAAGCGCGCGCAGGCGGUUCUUUAAGUCUGAUGUGAAAGCCCACGGGCUCAACCGUGGAGGGUCAUUGGAAACUGGAGAACUUGAGUACAGAAGAGGAAAGCGGAAUUCCACGUGUAGCGGUGAAAUGCGUAGAGAUGUGGAGGAACACCAGUGGCGAAGGCGGCUUUCUGGUCUGUAACUGACGCUGAGGCGCGAAAGCGUGGGGAGCAAACAGGAUUAGAUACCCUGGUAGUCCACGCCGUAAACGAUGAGUGCUAAGUGUUAGGGGGUUUCCGCCCCUUAGUGCUGCAGCUAACGCAUUAAGCACUCCGCCUGGGGAGUACGGCCGCAAAGACUG
RNAcentral lists this ribosomal RNA (374 nucleotides) under uncultured organism. RNAcentral's name for it is "partial 16S ribosomal RNA". It matches the Rfam family "Bacterial small subunit ribosomal RNA", at positions 527 to 896 of the family's 1533-position model. The record is from RNAcentral.